GACGAACGCUGGCGGCGUGCUUAACACAUGCAAGUCGAACGGAAAGGCCCUGCUUUUGUGGGGUGCUCGAGUGGCGAACGGGUGAGUAACACGUGAGUAACCUGCCCUUGACUUUGGGAUAACUUCAGGAAACUGGGGCUAAUACCGGAUAGGAGCUCCUGCUGCAUGGUGGGGGUUGGAAAGUUUCGGCGGUUGGGGAUGGACUCGCGGCUUAUCAGCUUGUUGGUGGGGUAGUGGCUUACCAAGGCUUUGACGGGUAGCCGGCCUGAGAGGGUGACCGGCGACAUUGGGACUGAGAUACGGCCCAGACUCCUACGGGAGGCAGAAGUGGGGAAUAUUGCACAAUGGGCGGAAGCCUGAUGAAGCAACGCCGCGUGCGGGAUGACGGCCUUCGGGUUGUAAACCGCUUUCGCCUGUGACGAAGCGUGAGUGACGGUAAUGGGUAAAGAAGCACCGGCUAACUACGUG
RNAcentral lists this ribosomal RNA (468 nucleotides) under uncultured bacterium. RNAcentral describes it as "partial 16S ribosomal RNA". It matches the Rfam family "Bacterial small subunit ribosomal RNA", at positions 28 to 507 of the family's 1533-position model. The record is from RNAcentral.